GGGUAGACCUCCCACCCUGUGUCGUUAUACCUUCGUUGCUUUGGCGGGCCGCGGGGCCCCGGCCCCGCCCCUGGCUCCGGCUAGGGCGCGCCCGCCAGAGGACCUCAAAACCUGAAUGUUAGUGUCGUCUGAGUACUAUAUAAUAGUUAAAACUUUCAACAACGGAUCUCUUGGUUCUGGCAUCGAUGAAGAACGCAGCGAAAUGCGAUAAGUAAUGUGAAUUGCAGAAUUCAGUGAAUCAUCGAAUCUUUGAACGCACAUUGCGCCCCUUGGUAUUCCGGGGGGCAUGCCUGUUCGAGCGUCAUUACAACCCUCAAGCUCUGCUUGGUCUUGGGCGUCACCGGUCCCGGUGUGCCUUAAAAUCAGUGGCGGCGCCAUCUGGCUCUAAGCGUAGUACAUACUCUCGCUACAGACGUCCGGUGGAUGCUGGCCAGCAACCCCCAACUUAUCAAGGUUGACCUCGGAUCAGGUAGGGAUACCCGCUGAACUUAAGCAUAU
This 498-nucleotide ribosomal RNA is filed under the name Pezicula ericae. Its description in RNAcentral is "eukaryotic LSU rRNA". The stretch from base 151 to 304 matches the Rfam family "5.8S ribosomal RNA". The record is from RNAcentral. Lineage: Eukaryota; Fungi; Ascomycota; Leotiomycetes; Helotiales; Dermateaceae.